GAUGAACGCUGGCGGCGUGCCUAAUACAUGCAAGUAGAACGCUGAAGGAGGAGCUUGCUCUUCUGGAUGAGUUGCGAACGGGUGAGUAACGCGUAGGUAACCUGCCUGGUAGCGGGGGAUAACUAUUGGAAACGAUAGCUAAUACCGGAUGACAACAGUUAUUGCAUGAUAACUGUUUAAAAGGGGCAACUGCUCCACUACCAGAUGGACCUGCGUUGUAUUAGCUAGUUGGUGAGGUAACGGCUCACCAAGGCGACGAUACAUAGCCGACCUGAGAGGGUGAUCGGCCACACUGGGACUGAGACACGGCCCAGACUCCUACGGGAGGCAGCAGUAGGGAAUCUUCGGCAAUGGACGGAAGUCUGACCGAGCAACGCCGCGUGAGUGAAGAAGGUUUUCGGAUCGUAAAGCUCUGUUGUAAGAGAAGAACGAGUGUGAGAGUGGAAAGUUCACACUGUGACGGUAUCUUACCAGAAAGGGACGGCUAACUACGUG
Molecule: ribosomal RNA, 495 nt
Filed under: uncultured bacterium
Lineage: Bacteria
Description: partial 16S ribosomal RNA
Rfam family: Bacterial small subunit ribosomal RNA
Source: RNAcentral